RNAcentral lists this ribosomal RNA (335 nucleotides) under Tachymenis trigonatus. RNAcentral describes it as "partial 12S ribosomal RNA". The record is from RNAcentral. Lineage: Eukaryota; Metazoa; Chordata; Lepidosauria; Squamata; Dipsadidae.
AAAGACUUGACGGUACUUCACAACAACCUAGAGGAGCCUGUCUAAUAACCGAUACUCCACGAUUAACCCAACCCACCCUAGCCCAGCAGUCUAUAUACCGCCGUCGCCAGCUUACCUUGUGAAAGAAAUAAAGUAAGCAAAAUAAGCCACCCUUUAACACGACAGGUCGAGGUGUAACUAAUGAGUGGGUUAAGGAUGGGCUACAUUUUCUAAUACAGAAAAUACGAACAAACUAUGAAACUAGAAACUGAAGGCGGAUUUAGCAGUAUGUUAAGAAUAAAAUACUUAACUGAAACCAACGCAAUGAAGUGCGCACACACCGCCCGUCAUCCCUG